GCGUACCUCUGUUCCAGUCCGCCGCCAUGUUGGCGUGUGACGUUGCAACCGGAUGCAGAUCCUGAACCAAACGUGAUUGGAGCGGGUGUGGCGUGACGUCACCAAAAUAAACAACCCCUGCCGACCGUGCUCUUUACAGUUCCAUUGAUUCCUGGCAACCAGUCGAGGGCGUCUCCCGCCUCCUGCCCGAUGAAAGCUCGGAUAGGCUCCCGCACUCCCGCGAUCCUUGUGAGGAUAAGCAAGCGGCUCAGGGGGGAGUCCUGCGAGGCGGCGGGACAACGCGAGUGAGAGGACGAAGUGACCCGGGGCCGGCGGGGGACCCGGACCUGCGUGACGCAGGCGCCGGUGAAGGCCACGAUGACGGCCACCACGUUGACGGUGAGCUGGA
This is a long non-coding RNA of Syngnathoides biaculeatus (alligator pipefish), 388 nucleotides long. RefSeq lists it as uncharacterized. Lineage: Eukaryota; Metazoa; Chordata; Actinopteri; Syngnathiformes; Syngnathidae. The transcript has 3 exons. The record is from RefSeq and is a predicted model, not a curated record.